AGUGAACGCUGGCGGUAGGCCUAACACAUGCAAGUCGAACGGCAGCACAGUAAGAGCUUGCUCUUACGGGUGGCGAGUGGCGGACGGGUGAGGAAUACAUCGGAAUCUACUUUUUCGUGGGGGAUAACGUAGGGAAACUUACGCUAAUACCGCAUACGACCUACGGGUGAAAGCAGGGGAUCUUCGGACCUUGCGCGAUUGAAUGAGCCGAUGUCGGAUUAGCUAGUUGGCGGGGUAAAGGCCCACCAAGGCGACGAUCCGUAGCUGGUCUGAGAGGAUGAUCCGCCACACUGGAACUGAGACACGGUCCAGACUCCUACGGGAGGCAGCAGUGGGGAAUAUUGGACAAUGGGCGAAAGCCUGAUCCAGCCAUACCGCGUGGGUGAAGAAGGCCUUCGGGUUGUAAAGCCCUUUUGUUGGGAAAGAAAAGCAGCAGGUUAAUACCCCGCUGUUCUGACGGUACCCAAAGAAUAAGCACCGGCUAACUUCGCG
RNAcentral lists this ribosomal RNA (492 nucleotides) under uncultured bacterium. RNAcentral describes it as "partial 16S ribosomal RNA". It matches the Rfam family "Bacterial small subunit ribosomal RNA", at positions 29 to 507 of the family's 1533-position model. The record is from RNAcentral.